Molecule: ribosomal RNA, 533 nt
Filed under: uncultured bacterium
Lineage: Bacteria
Description: bacterial SSU rRNA
Rfam family: Bacterial small subunit ribosomal RNA
Source: RNAcentral
CCUACGGGAGGCAGCAGUGGGGAAUUUUGGACAAUGGGCGGCAAGCCUGAUCCGGCCAUGCCGCGUGUGGGAAGAAGGCCUUCGGGUUGUAAACCACUUUUGUCAGGGAAGAAACGGCUCUUACUAAUAUUAGGGGCUAAUGACGGUACCUGAAGAAUAAGCACCGGCUAACUACGUGCCAGCAGCCGCGGUAAUACGUAGGGUGCAAGCGUUAAUCGGAAUUACUGGGCGUAAAGCGUGCGCAGGCGGCUUUGCAAGACAGAUGUGAAAUCCCCGGGCUCAACCUGGGAACUGCAUUUGUGACUGCAUGGCUAGAGUACGGUAGAGGGGGAUGGAAUUCCGCGUGUAGCAGUGAAAUGCGUAGAUAUGCGGAGGAACACCGAUGGCGAAGGCAAUCCCCUGGACCUGUACUGACGCUCAUGCACGAAAGCGUGGGGAGCAAACAGGAUUAGAUACCCUGGUAGUCCACGCCCUAAACGAUGUCACUGGUUGUGUACAGNUGUNUGUCUAGUAACGAAGACGUACGCGUGAGU